Molecule: long non-coding RNA, 278 nt
Filed under: Gossypium barbadense (sea-island cotton)
Lineage: Eukaryota; Viridiplantae; Streptophyta; Magnoliopsida; Malvales; Malvaceae
Description: long non-coding RNA (GBAR_LNC019805)
Source: RNAcentral
AUAAGACAACUGUCCAUUUGCCAUAGUAAUCCAACUCAAUUAUGUCAGUAAGAUGUCUGAAAUAUUCCACAUUUCCCUCGACAGGAUUAUUGUCCCUAGCACUAGCAUAACUUGUAAUUGCAGAAUUAACAACUAUUCCACAAUUUUGCGUUCUCCUCAACCUCUCGCGAUAUUUUGUAUGAAAUAUGAAUCCGUUGAUGAGGAAUGCACUAUAUCUGAAUCCCUUGGUACUCCAACCGGAUAAAUUGGCAUAAGCGGGAAAGUCAUUAAUGGCCCAC